GAUGAAGAACGCAGCAAAAUGCGAUAAGUAAUGUGAAUUGCAGAAUUCAGUGAAUCAUCGAAUCUUUGAACGCACAUUGCGCCCGCUGGUAUUCCGGCGGGCAUGCCUGUUCGAGCGUCAUUUCAACCCUCAAGCCCCCGGGUUUGGUGUUGGGGAUCGGCUCUGCCCUUCUGGGCGGUGCCGCCCCCGAAAUACAUUGGCGGUCUCGCUGCAGCCUCCAUUGCGUAGUAGCUAACACCUCGCAACUGGAACGCGGCGCAGCCAUGCCGUAAAACCCCAACUUCUGAAUGUUGACCUCGGAUCAGGUAGGAAUACCCGCUGAACUUAAGCAUAUCAAUAAGCGGAGGA
This 348-nucleotide unclassified non-coding RNA is filed under the name soil metagenome. RNAcentral describes it as "partial contains 5.8S ribosomal RNA, internal transcribed spacer 2, and large subunit ribosomal RNA". The stretch from base 1 to 120 matches the Rfam family "5.8S ribosomal RNA", at positions 35 to 154 of the family's 154-position model. The record is from RNAcentral.